CUCUGGACUGCGUACGAGUGUGAUCCUGAGCUCACGAUGGGCAGCUUGGUCCCUGAUGUAUAGCGGCGGACGGGUGAGUAACACGUGGGUAACCUGCCUGUAAGACUGGGAUAACUCCGGGAAACCGGGGCUAAUACCGGAUGGUUGUUUGAACCGCAUGGUUCAGACAUAAAAGGUGGCUUCGGCUACCACUUACAGAUGGACCCGCGGCGCAUUAGCUAGUUGGUGAGGUAACGGCUCACCAAGGCGACGAUGCGUAGCCGACCUGAGAGGGUGAUCGGCCACACUGGGACUGAGACACGGCCCAGACUCCUACGGGAGGCAGCAGUAGGGAAUCUUCCGCAAUGGACGAAAGUCUGACGGAGCAACGCCGCGUGAGUGAUGAAGGUUUUCGGAUCGUAAAGCUCUGUUGUUAGGGAAGAACAAGUGCCGUUCAAAUAGGGCGGCACCUUGACGGUACCUAACCAGAAAGCCACGGCUAACUACGUGCCAGCAGCCGCGGUAAUACGUAGGUGGCAAGCGUUGUCCGGAAUUAUUGGGCGUAAGGGGCUCGCAGGCGGUUUCUUAAGUCUGAUG
This 576-nucleotide ribosomal RNA is filed under the name Bacillus velezensis. RNAcentral describes it as "bacterial SSU rRNA". It matches the Rfam family "Bacterial small subunit ribosomal RNA", at positions 72 to 594 of the family's 1533-position model. Lineage: Bacteria; Bacillati; Bacillota; Bacilli; Caryophanales; Bacillaceae. The record is from RNAcentral.